Molecule: long non-coding RNA, 207 nt
Filed under: Mytilus galloprovincialis (Mediterranean mussel)
Lineage: Eukaryota; Metazoa; Mollusca; Bivalvia; Mytilida; Mytilidae
Source: RNAcentral
AGUAAAUAGAAAUCUAUGAAAUUUUGACACAAGGUUAAUGACCACAAAAGGAAGGUUGGGAUUGAUUUUGGGAGUUUUGGUUGCAACAGUUUAGGAAUUAGGGGCCAAAAAAGGGCCCAAAUAAGCAUUAUUCCUGGUUUUCGCACUAUAACUUUAGUAUAAGUAAAUAGAAAUCAAUGAAAUUUAAACACAAGGUUUAUGACCACA